AGUCGAACGAAGUAGCAAUACUUAGUGGCAGACGGGUGAGUAACAUGUAGGUAUCUACCCUUUGGCCUGGAAUAACACGAGGAAACUUGUGCUAAUACCGGAUAAGUCUUUACGGAGAAAGCUUUAUGCACCAUUGGAUGAGCCUGCACUUGAUUAGUUUGUUGGUAGGGUAAUGGCCUACCAAGACUGUGAUCAAUAGCUGAUUUGAGAGGAUGAUCAGCCACAUUGGGACUGAGACACGGCCCAAACUCCUACGGGAGGCAGCAGUGGGGAAUCUUGCACAAUGGAGGAAACUCUGAUGCAGCGAUGCCGCGUGAGUGAAGAAGGCCCUUGGGUUGUAAAGCUCUUUCGUCGGGGAAGAAAAUGACUGUACCCGAAUAAGAAGGUCCGGCUAACUUCGUGCCAGCAGCCGCGGUAAUACGAAGGGACCUAGCGUAGUUCGGAAUUACUGGGCUUAAAGAGUUCGUAGGUGGUUGAAAAAGUUGGUGGUGAAAUCCCAGAGCUUAACUCUGGAACUGCCAUCAAAACUUUUCAGCUAGAGUUUGAUAGAGGAAAGCAGAAUUUCUAGUGUAGAGGUGAAAUUCGUAGAUAUUAGAAAGAAUACCAAUUGCGAAGGCAGCUUUCUGGAUCAUUACUGACACUGAGGAACGAAAGCAUGGGUAGCGAAGAGGAUUAGAUACCCUCGUAGUCCAUGCCGUAAACGAUGUGUGUUAGACGUUGGAAAUUUAUUUUCAGUGUCGCGGCGAAAGCGAUAAACACACCGCCUGGGGAGUACGACCGCAAGGUUAAAACUCAAAUGAAU
RNAcentral lists this ribosomal RNA (802 nucleotides) under uncultured marine bacterium. Its description in RNAcentral is "bacterial SSU rRNA". It matches the Rfam family "Bacterial small subunit ribosomal RNA", at positions 60 to 910 of the family's 1533-position model. The record is from RNAcentral.